GAUGAACGCUGGCGGCAUGCCUAAGACAUGCAAGUCGAACGAGAUGGCCCAGUGAAGGUUGAGUGCUUGCACAAGACUGAAUCUGGAUUCCCAUCUAGUGGCAGACGGGUGAGUAACACGUGGGUGACCUACCUUUUCGUUGGGGAUAACAGUUGGAAACGAUUGCUAAUACCGAAUAAAAUGUAAGAGUCAAUUUUACAUUGAAAGGAGCCUUUAAAGCUUUGCGAUUAGAUGGGCCUGCGGCGUAUUAACUAGUUGGUGAGGUAAUGGCUUACCAAGGUGACGAUGCGUAGCCGAACUGAGAGGUUGAUCGGCCACAUUGGGACUGAGACACGGCCCAAAAUCCUACGGGAGACAGCAGUUAGGAAUAUUCGUCAAUGGAGGAAACUCUGAACGAGCAAUGCCGCGUGACGUGAUGAAGGUCUUAUAGAUUGUAAAACUCUGUUGUAUGGAAAAAACG
This 460-nucleotide ribosomal RNA is filed under the name uncultured bacterium. RNAcentral describes it as "bacterial SSU rRNA". It matches the Rfam family "Bacterial small subunit ribosomal RNA", at positions 28 to 451 of the family's 1533-position model. The record is from RNAcentral.